This is a non-coding RNA of Drosophila takahashii, 270 nucleotides long. NCBI's taxonomy places the organism in Eukaryota, Metazoa, Arthropoda, Insecta, Diptera, Drosophilidae. The record is from RefSeq and is a predicted model, not a curated record.
AACGAAAUCCUUGUACAUAGCAACAACAAAUGGGCCAGCAAUAACACAAUCAGCUGAUCGGCCAAGUGUUGGAAAGCGCGGCCAUGUUUGAAUGCAACUGACAACAACAGAUCCGCCCCCUCGGCUUUAAUCAACUUACAUUUGCCAUCAUCCAGCGGUUGCACAGCUACGCACAUUGUUAUUGAUAAGAACGAGGCGAACAGCCCCACCAAAAUUGAUACUCUUUCCACCAGACGACAGAUCCCCACCAACGUCGAACGGCAAAAGGCG